Molecule: ribosomal RNA, 589 nt
Filed under: uncultured Clostridium sp.
Lineage: Bacteria; Bacillati; Bacillota; Clostridia; Eubacteriales; Clostridiaceae
Description: bacterial SSU rRNA
Rfam family: Bacterial small subunit ribosomal RNA
Source: RNAcentral
CUGGCGGCGUGCCUAACACAUGCAAGUCGAGCGAUGAAACCCUUCGGGGUGAAUUAGCGGCGGACGGGUGAGUAACACGUGGGUAACCUGCCUUAUAGAGGGGGAUAGCCUUCCGAAAGGAAGAUUAAUACCGCAUGAAAUGUUUUUAUCGCAUGGUAGAAACAUCAAAGGAGUAAUCCGCUAUAAGAUGGACCCGCGGCGCAUUAGCUAGUUGGUGAGGUAACGGCCCACCAAGGCGACGAUGCGUAGCCGACCUGAGAGGGUGAUCGGCCACAUUGGAACUGAGACACGGUCCAGACUCCUACGGGAGGCAGCAGUGGGGAAUAUUGCGCAAUGGGGGAAACCCUGACGCAGCAACGCCGCGUGAAUGAAGAAGGCCUUAGGGUUGUAAAGUUCUGUUUUCUGGGACGAUAAUGACGGUACCAGAGGAGGAGGCCACGGCUAACUACGUGCCAGCAGCCGCGGUAAUACGUAGGUGGCAAGCGUUGUCCGGAUUUACCGGGCGUAAAGGAUGCGUAGGCGGAUGUUUAAGUGAGAUGUGAAAUACCCGAGCUCAACUUGGGUGCUGCAUUUCAAACUGGAUAUCUAG